This 492-nucleotide ribosomal RNA is filed under the name uncultured bacterium. RNAcentral describes it as "partial 16S ribosomal RNA". It matches the Rfam family "Bacterial small subunit ribosomal RNA", at positions 29 to 507 of the family's 1533-position model. The record is from RNAcentral.
AGUGAACGCUGGCGGUAGGCCUAACACAUGCAAGUCGAACGGCAGCACAGUAAGAGCUUGCUCUUACGGGUGGCGAGUGGCGGACGGGUGAGGAAUACAUCGGAAUCUACUUUUUCGUGGGGGAUAACGUAGGGAAACUUACACUAAUACCGCAUACGACCUACGGGUGAAAGCAGGGGAUCUUCUGACCUUGCGCGAUUGAAUGAGCCGAUGUCGGAUUAGCUAGUUGGCGGGGUAAAGGCCCACCAAGGCGACGAUCCGUAGCUGGUCUGAGAGGAUGAUCAGCCACACUGGAACUGAGACACGGUCCAGACUCCUACGGGAGGCAGCAGUGGGGAAUAUUGGACAAUGGGCGCAAGCCUGAUCCAGCAAUACCGCGUGGGUGAAGAAGGCCUUCGGGUUGUAAAGCCCUUUUGUUGGGAAAGAAAAGCAGCAGGUUAAUACCCCGCUGUUCUGACGGUACCCAAAGAAUAAGCACCGGCUAACUUCGUG